Molecule: unclassified non-coding RNA, 363 nt
Filed under: uncultured bacterium
Lineage: Bacteria
Description: contains 16S-23S intergenic spacer region
Source: RNAcentral
UCCCUGUUGCCAGGGCAGUCUGAUUAGAAAAAUUCAACUAAUCACAAGGGUUGCGCUCGUUAAUGGACUUAACCAAACAUCUCACGACACGAGCUGACGACGGCCAUGCAACACCUGUCACUUGGUUCAAAAAUGCACUCUCUCCUUUCGGAGAGAUUCCAAGGAUGUCAAACCUGGGUAAGGUUCUUCGCUUACCAUCGAAUUAAACAACACGCUCCACCGCUUGUGCGGGUCCCCGUCAAUUCCUUUAUGUUUUAGUCUUGCGACCGUACUCCACAGGCGGGAUGCUUAACGCGUUAGCUUCGCUACUAGAGGGGUCGAUACCUCUAACAGCUAGCAUCCAUAGUUUACAGCGUGGACUAC